AGUGUGGCUCAACGGUAGAGCAAUUGCCUUGUAAGCAAUAGGGUGUAGGUUCGAAUCCUAUCACU
RNAcentral lists this transfer RNA (65 nucleotides) under uncultured Romboutsia sp. It matches the Rfam family "tRNA". Rfam says of the family: Transfer RNA (tRNA) molecules are approximately 80 nucleotides in length. Their secondary structure includes four short double-helical elements and three loops (D, anti-codon, and T loops). Lineage: Bacteria; Bacillati; Bacillota; Clostridia; Peptostreptococcales; Peptostreptococcaceae. The record is from RNAcentral.